RNAcentral lists this transfer RNA (53 nucleotides) under Koenigia hubertii. RNAcentral's name for it is "partial tRNA-Phe". The record is from RNAcentral. Lineage: Eukaryota; Viridiplantae; Streptophyta; Magnoliopsida; Caryophyllales; Polygonaceae.
GCAUAGGCACUGGUCGGGAUAGCUCUAGUUGGUAGAGCAGAGGGACUGAAAAU